This is a long non-coding RNA of Hylaeus volcanicus, 1095 nucleotides long. RefSeq lists it as uncharacterized. The transcript has 2 exons. NCBI's taxonomy places the organism in Eukaryota, Metazoa, Arthropoda, Insecta, Hymenoptera, Colletidae. The record is from RefSeq and is a predicted model, not a curated record.
CACGCGGACGGCUAGCCUAUUUGAUUGUUACUCGGUCAAGCCGCGUUUGGUAACCCCCUGAAGUCGCCCUCGCCGCUUUUACUGCCACUUCUUCUUAAGGAGUCGAACCAGCUUGGGGGUGGAAUGUAUUCAUGGUCGUUCACGAAUUUAUCGCCGUGGAUCGGUUCGGGAGAAGUUUUGUGCGUUUAGUAGGGGAACGUAUUAGGCGUAGGAAUUAGUUCUGUGCACUUUUUUUGUUCGAUAAUCCUUUAUAACUUUAAGUAGAAAUAUCUAAUCGUCUUGUUUUUAUAUGUUCUAGGUUCUCGACCUGGCCUUCGUUACGAUGAAUCUAUAGGUACGUUAUAUAACCUGAGCCCCUAACCCGAUGGCCAUUGCAAUACGGUGUUUAUUCGUUAAGAGCUCGCAGCCUCCGAGGUCUGGACGUUUGUACAAGAAAAAUUUCCUCCCAAGAUGAUGUUUGCAAUCGUAGACGCGUAAGAGGACUCGAAAACACUCCUAAGAACGACACCGUCGGCAUGUUGCCAGUGUCGCGAUCGCUAUACGACCGUCUGGUCCUAUAAAAAUGCUAAACGCGGAGUCUUGACAGAGGAUACGAAAAUCGAACGAUAUCGAAAAUUUAAGAACGUCAGGCGUGCAUUUCUCGCGCGUCGAGAUGCGCGAACGUGUACCAGAUUGAAUUUGCAUAGAUACGUUUAAGUACCGUACUCCCUACGGACGGCGAUACAGAGAUUACGCAAACGCAUCUAUGCCGAAUAUUAAAUUAUAAAUUCCUCUCGAUUCGAGAGGAAUGCACAUAACGUACAAAUAAGAAAAUGUUUGCGUAAUUGAAAUUCCUUAUGUAAAACAUAGUAACUGUCGUAUAGAUGAGUAUUGCUCCCAGAAGUGGGCCACGAAGAAUGAUCGAGGCGUGUUAAUAAACGCAGGAAAUAAUAAUGUCGGGAGUCACUUGAAAGCGACUGUUUACCUACUUCCUUAAGGACGGGGGAUCCCAACGAAAUGAACUGUAAAAUAAAAAUAAAUGUUACACUCGCGCGCACGUCUCGCACAUCUCAAAAUUAGGUCACUCGCGUGUCAGUUUAUUUGUUUUUUUUUUUU